UAUUAAGUUGGCCAGCAUAGGAAAAGGA
Molecule: non-coding RNA, 28 nt
Filed under: Rattus norvegicus (Norway rat)
Lineage: Eukaryota; Metazoa; Chordata; Mammalia; Rodentia; Muridae
Source: RNAcentral